This is a long non-coding RNA of Scylla paramamosain (green mud crab), 464 nucleotides long. RefSeq lists it as uncharacterized. The transcript has 2 exons. NCBI's taxonomy places the organism in Eukaryota, Metazoa, Arthropoda, Malacostraca, Decapoda, Portunidae. The record is from RefSeq and is a predicted model, not a curated record.
AGGCAGACAGAACGAUGGCAUUCCCAGGAGUAGCGACUGGAAGCAUGAAGGCGUAUGCGCAGCAGGCGGUAGCAGGGAUCAGCAGAUAAAGUUCGCUAACAUAGGUAGCAGGAUGGAGGCCGUAGCGGUAUUCGAGGCAAACUCCGUCAUUCCACCGGCCAUUAAACACACCAGCACCACCAACGCUUCUUUCGGGAGAUCUUUAAGCCUGGUGAGCUGUUGGCUGAAGUAGAUGGACAGUCCGGAAUGCUUCGCACCCUCCGCUAAGACCAAGCCACCUCCCAGCAGGAUCACGAUUCCCCAGGGAACCUUUUUGUGCACUGCUUCCCAGUUCAUGCAUCUCUCCACCUGCUUCGCGCCUGGAGCUGUAAUGACGAGGGAAAAAAGAAAAUGUCAAUGGAGAAAGGGGGUAGUGAGGGGGAUUCGCAUGACAAAAUUUAUUUAUUUUCUCACACUUUCUUUAC